UGUAAAAUAGAUGAACCACUCCCAUUCACUUGCUUACUUCCCUAAAAAGAACUUUGGGGCAUGAACAGAAAUGUACAUUGUUUUUGCGAAGGUACAGAGUGGACUUAGCAGAGUUUGUACAAGUGCAGUUUUAGAUGUUACAUGAAAAUGUAGUAGAAAAUACAGCCCUCAUAUAUUCACAAAUGUCAGAUGUGCAUAGAUGAAACCCUAAUAUGCUUUUUGAAGAGUCACAGAUCAAGUUGCAGUGCCAGCAGUGGUCCUGCAGUCCUCUGCAGCUUACCAACAUGUAUGUAAUUGGGUGUCUGUCACCACUCUGUUUGUUUGCUGGUGCAGAUGCUAUCUAACUCAUAACCCUUACUUACGACAAGUAGCCAGCAUUGUUAGCAUGUAAAACGACUCUUAACAGCUUACCAGAAGCGUAGAAAUACAACUGUGUUUUUCCAACAUGCUGUAUCUGGGUACUCACUGUAUACACGAUUCAUCGGUCUGUUACAUUCUUAUUGCAUACUAAUCCGUAAUAGGAAGUGUUAUAAGUUUCCGACAUGUUUCUUUCAAUCGCGUGCAUGUCUGCUGCCAUAGUAUGCAUUCCAUUCCAUAAAUUUAGCACCAGAGGUCCAAAUUCUACAUAGGCAAACAAGUUAAGAAGUUGGAGUCAGAAAGAGUACAUUAGUAAUAACAGAAGAUUUCAUGAGACAAAUACUAGACAAAGAGUGAAGCAUGGAUGGUUUAGGGAUCUCAAAUUGAUUGAUUAUCAGUGAUGUGUCUUCAUCUAAGCCACACCCUAAUGAGCUCUUUCUAGACAGAGCUGCAGAGCAGAGCCUUUUUAAAUCACAAAUUAAUUAUUUCCUAAAAAUUGAAUGCCUGCUUGUUAUCUUGCAAAACUCCAAAUAUAGUAUUCCAUCCAAUUUACAAUAAAGCCCUUCUCAUUAUUCCAUCCAGAAUCUCAAUAUAAUACAUACAAAUAUAAAAUGCAAUAAUUUCAAAGAUUUGUUUUUUGGAAAAUUAACCUUGGCAAUUAAGACUUUUUGGUGUGGGAAAGUAUAAAUUUCAUUGCAGCCAGGCCAGAAA
Molecule: long non-coding RNA, 1068 nt
Filed under: Daucus carota (carrot)
Lineage: Eukaryota; Viridiplantae; Streptophyta; Magnoliopsida; Apiales; Apiaceae
Description: long non-coding RNA (DCAR_LNC005133)
Source: RNAcentral